Lycium barbarum (goji berry) is the source of this 1083-nucleotide long non-coding RNA. RefSeq lists it as uncharacterized. The record is from RefSeq and is a predicted model, not a curated record. The transcript has 3 exons. NCBI's taxonomy places the organism in Eukaryota, Viridiplantae, Streptophyta, Magnoliopsida, Solanales, Solanaceae.
UUGCUUACAUAGAUUAGAGUAGGUAAUACUCAUUAUCUCAUUGUGUAUAUAUAUGAAUCACAUACAUAAUAAAUGUACAAGUUAAUUCACAAAUUUCAUCAUUGAACUUUCUCUCUCUUCCUCAAUUGAUUCAUGUUAAACUCACUCAUGAAGUUUUGAAUCAUUUCAUGUUAUUAGAAGAACAGAAUGAUAGUUUCAACGUUCUGAUCAAAAUUUGGGAAAUCUUGAAGCUAUCUAAAUUUCGCUCAAGAUAGUAGUUGGUGAAAAUUCACAAAUUGGUAAAUUUUGUGUCAUAAACAUUUAAAAUUUCAAAAAAUCUCAAUGGAAAAAAAUGGAAAUACAUCUGGGUGGUCGAUGUUAAUGAUGUGAUCAGUAGAGUUCCAAAUUCAAUCAGUUCGACUCCAUCUCAGUCUGAGAACAACACGGGCAAUCAACCAGUUGAGGGAACAACUCAAACUAUUGAUCAAAGUCCCCCUCUCUUCUUGAAUACCUAUGAUAUUCUAUUCAUAGUACAAGUGGAUCUCGGGAUGCUACUGGCUAUUGAGGAGACAAUCUUUACGAUUCGGGGAUUAUGGUGGUUGUGACUAUUUCAGGUUUAUUGAUCCACAACCCAACAAAACACCAAAAAAAAAAAAUCUCAAAUGAGCUCAGGACCUAGCAAGAGCCCAGGUGGACCUGAUACACCAACAUCAAAAGGCUUAACAAAAUCUGAACUACAAAAUAGGCUCAGAGAAUCUUUAGAGAACGAGGAAUUACUUCAGUCGUUGUUUAGAGAAUCUGAAGAAAAUAAGAAUCACUUAAAAUUUAGGUUGGGAGAAGCUGAAAUUGAGAGGGCUGAAGUAAAACAGAGGUUGAUGAUGACUGAAGAGGAACAUAAUAGACUAACGAUGCUUUUGUAUGGUUUAUUAGUGGUGUUUGCUAUAUGACAAUAUGUAAUAAGGUUGUAGUGAGGCUGGUAUUUCAUUUUAGCGUAUGAAGAAUUUUGGACAAUAUGAAGCAGGUUUUAUUUAUAUGAAAAAUAUGUGUUUGUCCUUAAGCGUUAUAACAUCUCUAUUGACAUUGUGUAUAAGCUUUAUUCAUAGU